RNAcentral lists this transfer RNA (71 nucleotides) under Nelumbo nucifera (sacred lotus). It matches the Rfam family "tRNA". Rfam says of the family: Transfer RNA (tRNA) molecules are approximately 80 nucleotides in length. The record is from Rfam by way of RNAcentral. Lineage: Eukaryota; Viridiplantae; Streptophyta; Magnoliopsida; Proteales; Nelumbonaceae.
GCCAUCUUAGCUCAGCAGAUAGAGAGCAUGCUUUUAACCAUGUGGUUGUGGGUUCGAUUCCCACGACGGCG